CAAAACUUUUAUACUUUGAACGUUGUGUAGUAUUUAAACUGCUGAAAACAGAAAGACAAUCAAAUCUCAUCUAAACAAUGAAGGCUUUGCUAGUAUUCUUCCUGAUUUCUAUUGGUGGAAUAUCCACAUUAGUUUCAUGUCAAAGUACGCAUCGUUCGGAAAAUUUUUAUGAUGUCUACAACCUUCGACUUUGCACUGACGAAGAAAAAAGUGGAAUUUGCGAAUUUCUUUGUGAGACUGCUAAACAACGUAUUUGUAUCCUAUCGUCUGAGCAUUGCAAAUGUUAUGAUUUCUGAGAUGAUAAAGUUUGUUGUUAUUGCGGUAAUAGUUUAUAGUUUCUGAUCGAAUUUCAACGUACUUUUUAAUGAGUAAUUUUCGAAAUAUUAUAAUAAAAGUUGCUAAAAUCAUAAUUUUUCAUAUUUUGUUGUUUAGUUUAAGAUUUUCAAAUAAAUUAAUGUUCUGUUUGAAUGGGCUUGAAGAACGCUUAUUUGUUAAAACUAAUUUUUGUUUGUUAAAUAAAGAUAAUUAAGUUUA
Molecule: long non-coding RNA, 534 nt
Organism: Centruroides sculpturatus (bark scorpion)
Lineage: Eukaryota; Metazoa; Arthropoda; Arachnida; Scorpiones; Buthidae
Exons: 2
Source: RefSeq, a predicted model, not a curated record